AACGAACGCUGGCGGCAUGCCUAACACAUGCAAGUCGAACGAGACCUUCGGGUCUAGUGGCGCACGGGUGCGUAACGCGUGGGAACCUGCCCUUAGGUUCGGAAUAACUCCCCGAAAGGGGUGCUAAUACCGGAUAAUGUCUUCGGACCAAAGAUUUAUCGCCUUUGGAUGGGCCCGCGUUGGAUUAGCUAGUUGGUAGGGUAAAAGCCUACCAAGGCGACGAUCCAUAGCUGGUCUGAGAGGAUGAUCGGCCACACUGGGACUGAGACACGGCCCAGACUCCUACGGGAGGCAGCAGUGGGGAAUAUUGGACAAUGGGCGAAAGCCUGAUCCAGCAAUGCCGCGUGAGUGAUGAAGGCCUUAGGGUUGUAAAGCUCUUUUACCCGGGACGAUAAUGACAGUACCGGGAGAAUAAGCUCCGGCUAACUCCGUG
Molecule: ribosomal RNA, 433 nt
Filed under: uncultured bacterium
Lineage: Bacteria
Description: partial 16S ribosomal RNA
Rfam family: Bacterial small subunit ribosomal RNA
Source: RNAcentral